RNAcentral lists this ribosomal RNA (1420 nucleotides) under human gut metagenome. RNAcentral's name for it is "bacterial LSU rRNA". It matches the Rfam family "Bacterial large subunit ribosomal RNA", at positions 708 to 2004 of the family's 2925-position model. The record is from RNAcentral.
CCUGGACCCGAAGCGGGAUGAUCUAGCCCUGGGCAGGUUGAAGCGCGGGUAAGACCGCGUGGAGGACCGAACCCACCUGGGUUGAAAACCGGGGGGAUGACCUGGGGCUAGGGGUGAAAGGCCAAUCAAAUUCCGUGAUAGCUGGUUCUCUCCGAAAUGCAUUUAGGUGCAGCGUCGGUUGAUUGCAUCGCGGGGGUAGAGCUACUGGAUGCUUGCGGGCCCGUGUCGGGUACCAAUAGCAGCCAAACUCCGAAUACCGUGGAUGUGUAUUCCGGCAGUGAGUCGGCGGGGGAUAAGCUCCGUCGUCGAGAGGGAGACAGCCCAGAUCGUCGUCUAAGGUCCCGAAGCGUGUGCUAAGUGGGAAAGGAUGUGGAGUCGCAUAGACAGCCAGGAGGUUGGCUCAGAAGCAGCCAUCCUUGAAAGAGUGCGUAACAGCUCACUGGUCUAGUGGUUCCGCGCCGACAAUGUAGCGGGGCUCAAGCACACCACCGAAGACGCGGCAACAGUUUUUGCUGUUGGGUAGGAGAGCGUCCCGCGUGGGGCGAAGCGGCCGGGGAACCGUGCCGUGGACCGCGCGGGAGUGAGAAUGCAGACAUGAGUAGCGAGAGACGGGUGAGGAUCCCGUCCGCUGGAUGACCAAGGGUUCCGGGGCCACGUUCGUCGUCCCCGGGUGAGUCGGGUCCUAAGGCGAGGCCGACAGGCGUAGUCGAAUGGAUGAACGGGUGGAUAUUCCCGUACCGGCGGCGUACCGUAAGAGCCGAACGGAUGAGUACUAACCUCCGGUCGCGUGGCGUCGUUCCCUUCGGGGUUCGGGGCGCGUGGCUGUUGGGAGCGUAGUCCUGGUAGGCUAGCGCACAGGGGUGACACGGAAUGGGAGCCGGCCGCGGAGGUGGUUUUCCGUGGUCAAGCACGCAGCCCGUCCCAUAGGCAAAUCCGUGGGACGCAUAGGGUGAGGUGUGAUGAUGGGCGUCCUUUGGACGCGAUAUCCGGUGGUCCAGGCCGUCGAGAAAAGCCUCGGCGCGAGGGGCGUCGCCGCCCGUACCCCAAACCGACACUGGUGGUCAGGUAGAGAAUACCAAGGCGAUCGAGCGAAUCCUGGUCAAGGAACUCGGCAAAUCACUCCCGUGCCUUCGGUAUAAGGGAGACCCCCGGGCGUGAAGAGGCUUGCCCUCGGAGCGUUGGGGGGUGGCACAGACCAGGGGGUAGCGACUGUUUACCAAAAACACAGGUGCAUGCGAAGGCGCAAGCCGCUGUAUAUGCACUGACGCCUGCCCGGUGCCGGAAGGUUAAGAGGAUCCGUCAGCCCCUUUUGGGGUGAAGCGGUGAAUUCAAGCCCCGGUAAACGGCGGUGGUAACUAUAACCAUCCUAAGGUAGCGAAAUUCCUUGUCGGGUAAGUUCCGACCUGCACGAAUGGCGUAA